This 508-nucleotide ribosomal RNA is filed under the name uncultured bacterium. RNAcentral describes it as "bacterial SSU rRNA". It matches the Rfam family "Bacterial small subunit ribosomal RNA", at positions 28 to 518 of the family's 1533-position model. The record is from RNAcentral.
GAUGAACGCUGGCGGCGUGCCUAAUACAUGCAAGUCGAGCGAACAGAUAAGGAGCUUGCUCCUUUGACGUUAGCGGCGGACGGGUGAGUAACACGUGGGUAACCUACCUAUAAGACUGGAAUAACUCCGGGAAACCGGGGCUAAUGCCGGAUAAUAUUUAGAACCGCAUGGUUCUAAAGUGAAAGAUGGUUUUGCUAUCACUUAUAGAUGGACCCGCGCCGUAUUAGCUAGUUGGUGGGGUAAAGGCUUACCAAGGCAACGAUACGUAGCCGACCUGAGAGGGUGAUCGGCCACACUGGAACUGAGACACGGUCCAGACUCCUACGGGAGGCAGCAGUAGGGAAUCUUCCGCAAUGGGCGAAAGCCUGACGGAGCAACGCCGCGUGAGUGAUGAAGGUCCUCGGAUCGUAAAACUCUGCUAUUAGGGAAGAACAAAUGUGUAAGUAACUGUGCACGUCUUGACGGUACCUAAUCAGAAAGCCACGGCUAACUACGUGCCAGCAGCCGC